UGUGAAAACAGGGAAAAUGGUAGUUCACUCUUCAUACUUUCGUGGUUCUCUGUAUUAAAAGUUAGAACUCCAGUCUGCUUAUAGCUAGUAAAACCUUUACUCAGUAAGCUGCUGAGUUUGCUAUGUAGAAACAAGAGUACUGCUUUCCAGAGGUUCAGUUUUGUAUUCUGACGAAGUUCUAUUUAGUGUUUCUUCUGAAAUCCAGUUCAAGGUCAUGACCAUGUGUUUUCCAGAGGUUUAGUUUUGUAUUCUUCUGAAGUUAUGUCCAAUGUUUGUUCUGAAAUUCAGUUCAAGGUCAUGACCAUAACACUCUUUUGAAUAUUUAUUAAUUUAGAUUCAAAGUCUUGUCCUUUCGGAUGCAACCAAUGUGCCAUGCCAUGGAAGCAAGUAAGCAUUAAGUGUGAACUCCCUAUUUGGCCAAGAUCAUGAGACUACAUUUGUGAAACCUCUCUUGCGACUCCUCCAACGAGCUCUAUUGGCAUACUUGCAUGCAACUAUAGCGGAUGUUAACUCUAGAUUCAAUCUCCAUAUUUGGAACACAUGUCCAUGGCAUGUCCCUUUUGAGACAUUUGAUUAUCUAAUCUUACUGCAUAUAUGCAAGUAAACAAUUCGAAUAUUAUAGUUACACUUAUUUGUUUUAAUAUAGUGAAUGAUAAUAUUUAUCUUUAUGAUUGAUGCAACACAGCUACAAUAUUCAGAUAUGUUAAUGUUUUCUUUCAGUAGUUCGUCUAAUAUGUUCGCUUCUAUUUUGUGUGGAGUUAGAUUCAUAUAUCUUCAGAAGUUCAGUUUUCCUAUUUCACGUAUUGCCUUGGUUAUUUGACUAUCUAGUUCUUCAUAGUAAGUUGGAUUUUAUUGGCACUUUUUAAAAGCAUAAUGACUUACAGUCUAACAUUGUUGAAAAAGUUGUUCUAUGCUUAUUAAUUAUUGGUAGGUUUACCAUGACCAGGAUGCCAUCUCUAUCUAGUGAUUGUGAUACAGUUCACAUCUGACACUUGUGCAGUUCACAUCUGAACCUGUAUGGGGAUGGGUUCUGAACUGCAAGAGGAUGCAUGCUCGUGAUGGCGUCGCCGUCUCAGAGUAACGUAGGAUCACAGUGAGUUCAUUAGGUGUAAAAGUUCAUUUUAUUCAUCCAUGAAACAAACUAAAGUCAUUAUUUGUUUCAUAGAUGAAAGUGCAUUAUAUAUAGAUUGAGAAAUUUCAUUUUAUUCAUCUAUGAAACAAACUUAAGGAUCACGUGAGUUCAUUAGGUCUAAAAGUGAAGUUCACUUUGCAAAUAAAAUGAAGUUCGCUAGGCAUAAAAACUGAAGUUUGUUUCAGAAAUUGUAAAAAUAAUUCAGUAUAAUAGAAUCCUUGCUUGCUUCCACUCUGAAUUAUUUUAUAUUUCAGUCCGAGGUCAACACAGUAGCAUUUGUUGAUGAAAAUGGAAAUCUCAUUUAUUCUGGAAGCGGUGAUAAUCUGUGCAAAAUAGCUCGCUCUUACAAACUAUUAUUAUGCUAGACAAUAUAUAUAUAACCGAAUUUCAUUUAGAUUUAUUCACCAUUUGAAACAUAUGAAGUGUGAAGUAUUUUUAUGUUGCAACCUCCAAUUUAUGAAAGACAGUAAACGCUGAUUCUGGAUGAUUUUUUGUCAAGUAGAGUGGCAGUUGACUUGUUAUGAUUCCUGACAAAAAAAAAGGAAGUUCGAAAUAUCAGGAAACGGAUGAUGCCUUAGCUAAUUUUCUGUAGCAUUUAUCAACCUUUUUUUGGUAGCUGAAAGAUAUGCAUUUUACAGGUGCAUAAAUAACAUUAGAUGGUUCAGUAGCUAUGCCAAUAUCCUAACUUAUCGAGUUUGUUCCUUUAGUAUAGUUCAUUACCUAUAGACAACCAUUUUUUAUGCAAAAUAACUGCUGCUAGUUCAUGCGUGUACUCAUGGCAGCGCCACCAUGAACUCCGGUUCUCCCGCAUAGCCACAGCCGACACGGGACAAGCGCCGCCACAGGAGUUCACAUGCCCCGCUGUGGUAGUUCACGCCGCUCUCCGCAGCGAGCAUGUGAAGUUCUAUCUUCAGAUUCCAAUGUGAUAUUGUUCUACAGCUCUAACUGCAAGUAGAGCACCACAAGAGUUCAUUGUGCCUCCCUCGGCAGUCCGUUGUGCGUAGCCGGGAAGUCCACACGCGCAUACCCUGACAGUCCUGUGCGUGCCGCCGGGGAGUAAAACUACAGUACGCCGAUGUUUAGCCGCUAAUUCACAUGCAUGUCCUCUGAACCGUCGAUUCUUAGUUCUGCAAUUAAUACUUGUCUUAGCUUGUUUUGGGGCGAUGUAUUGCAAAUUGCAGGGAUAAAAAUAGGUUAAUGGCUUGCUGUGAUUUCUCCACUCUAGCUUAUAAAGGUGCACGACACCUACUCUGUGGCACACAGUUGGUCGUGAAGUUCAGACAAAUAGAGUCGUGGAGUUCAGAAAGAGACCAGCAUGUGUGAAGUUUAGAGACAUGCCUCGGCAGAGUUAUUCUGAAUUGUAAUCUGUAGUCAUUGAAUAUCUGGUAGCAUCUCAAGUUCAGAAACUACAGUUGUUUACAUUUUUAUCUUGUAUAUGUUCACUUCGUCUCCAAGAGGAAAUUCACUCCGCCUGUAGUUUUUUUUUGGUUGUACAAUUCUACCAAAGUGGAAGUUAAUAUAUUUAUGCGUUGUACA
Molecule: long non-coding RNA, 2668 nt
Organism: Lolium rigidum
Lineage: Eukaryota; Viridiplantae; Streptophyta; Magnoliopsida; Poales; Poaceae
Exons: 4
Source: RefSeq, a predicted model, not a curated record